This 379-nucleotide ribosomal RNA is filed under the name uncultured Pseudomonas sp. RNAcentral describes it as "bacterial SSU rRNA". It matches the Rfam family "Bacterial small subunit ribosomal RNA", at positions 1003 to 1382 of the family's 1533-position model. The record is from RNAcentral. Lineage: Bacteria; Pseudomonadati; Pseudomonadota; Gammaproteobacteria; Pseudomonadales; Pseudomonadaceae.
GAGAUGGAUUGGUGCCUUCGGGAACUCUGACACAGGUGCUGCAUGGCUGUCGUCAGCUCGUGUCGUGAGAUGUUGGGUUAAGUCCGUAACGAGCGCAACCUUGUCCUUAGUUACCAGCACGUUAUGGUGGGCACUCUAAGGAGACUGCCGGUGACAAACCGGAGGAAGGUGGGGAGUGACGUCAAGUCAUCAUGGCCCUUACGGCCUGGGCUACACACGUGCUACAAUGGUCGGUACAAAGGGUUGCCAAGCCGCGAGGUGGAGCUAAUCCCAUAAAACCGAUCGUAGUCCGGAUCGCAGUCUGCAACUCGACUGCGUGAAGUCGGAAUCGCUAGUAAUCGUGAAUCAGAAUGUCACGGUGAAUACGUUCCCGGGCCUU